Heterocephalus glaber (naked mole-rat) is the source of this 2027-nucleotide long non-coding RNA. Lineage: Eukaryota; Metazoa; Chordata; Mammalia; Rodentia; Bathyergidae. The record is from Ensembl.
GACAGUUUCUCCUCUGCUAUGCCCCUCUGCCAUGCUGCCCUGCCUUGAAGCCAGCUGACUGUGGAUUGAAACCUUUACAAAUUGUCUCAAGCUCCCCAGCACCCCAGGGGAAGCGGCCACAGGACUAGGGAAGUGUCUGCCAAUGGCUGGAGACGCAGUGGAGAGCCGGGGCAGACUAGAAGCGACCUGUGUCCGAUCCGCACCCAGAUGCCACCAGAGGAGGGGAAGCCGGAGUAAUUUCUGUGGGGAGGCACUAAGAGGACAGCGGGGUCACCCUGCCAUCGCCGCACGUGAGCGAGAGACUCCGAACCACAUCUUUCAGAAGGCCUCCGGACAAGGAGGGCACGCUGAGACAGACGAUAGGAAAGCAGAAGAUGAUGAUGAUGAAGAACAAGAGGAGGAGGAGGAGGACGAGGAGGAAGGAAGGAAGGAAGGAAGGAAGGAAGGAAGGAAGGAAGGAAGGAAGGAAGGAAAGGAAGAGGAGGAGGAGGAGCAGAAAAAAAUUUAGGAGAAAAAAAAAAAACACAAACCAAGAAGCACGGAGUGAAAAGGCCAGUAGAUAAACAGAACAUUUUAAAACCUUGCCAGGAAAUGAAGUUGAAAAACUGGAAGAGCACUUUUGUCAAAUGACGGGUGAAACCUGGAAGUUAACCAGUGGUCACAAACUUGAGGGUGAUGAAGAUUUGGUGCUUGAAAAUGUGGGCCAGACAUCUUUUGAAACGUCAAACACAGAAGCCGCUAAGAGAUGAAAUUUGCCUAAUCCUUUAACCAAAGUUCUGCCACCUGCUGACCAGCCAUACUUACCUGAAGAACCUUCUGAAACAGCUAAAGUAGUUACUGUUGCUCUGCGAUGUCCAAAUGGGAGAAUCCUGCGGAGGUUUUUUUAAGUCUUGCACUUCACAGGUUUUAUUUGCCUGGAUGAUAAAAAUCGGGUACCACACAUCCCUAUACAGCCUUUUCACUUCCUUUCCCAGAAGACUUCUGAAAGUAGAGGGAGGCUGGCCACUGGCUGACAUAGGAAUAACUAUGGAUUAUCUGCUCAUGGUGGAAGAGAAAGAACAGAGCAACUAGUAAAGAAAUAAGAAUUACCUGCUCUACAUUAAAUCAGUUUACUGUGACCUAAUAGUUCAGUAACAGAUUCAUGUUAAAAUCAUGCUGUACCUUGACUGCACUUAAGACAGUAAACAUUUUAAAUUGAUACACAUAGGAAUAUAUUGAUGUAAAGGAUUGAAAAGGAUUCAUUUCUGCAUUUAAGUUUUGGGCUGUGCCAUCUUAUAAUGUACCAAAUAAGAAUGGGGUAACAAUUAUUUGCAAAUAUUUUCUCCCUCUCUGUGGCUUAUCCUUUCUUUUUCUCUUUCUUUCUUUCCUUCCUUCCUCCCCGCCCCCCUUCUUUCUUUCUUUUUUUUGUACCAAGGAUCAAACUUGGGACCUUGCUAGGCAGAGAAUGGAGUAACAAUGUACACAAGAAGGCACUAAAUUUAUACUUCUUAACUCCCAUCAUUUCUCACUAUGUUAAAAACAUUUUGCCUUCUGCCUCUUUAAUCCUUAACCACAUAGUGACUAUUUUACAGUUCAUUCAGACCUUUCAAAAUCAUGUAAGUAGGAGUCUUUAUUCUACAGUAUUUAAGUUCAAAAACUUAAGUUCUUUAAGGCUUUACUGUUCUUUUGAAAAGUAUGUAUUAUUGUUUACUUGACUGAUGUCUGCAAUGUGUAUAGUUUUACCUUGUAUUAAUUGCAACAUUUACAAAGUUCCAGGUGGAAAACUAUGAAAGCUUUAAAACAUUGGUGAAUUUAAAAAAGAAUAAACCAUUUUAAAGAAGCUUCCUUUGAUCCAAAUUUAUGGUAGCGCGUAAAAAAGUUUAGAACACUUAACUAGAUAAUCUUUUUCUAAUUCCAACAUUUCUGUUUAAAUCUUACUAGGAAGAAAAGGGGCAAAGGGGAAGAGGAAUAGGGAGGGGUAGGGGAAAGGAAAGAAGGGAAUAGAAUAUGAGAAAAUGAAAAAUGGAAACAAAGUCUUUGUAAAUAGG